GACGAACGCUGGCGGCGUGCCUAAUACAUGCAAGUCGAGCGCAGGAAACUGACGGAACUCUUCGGAGGGAAGGCAGUGGAAUGAGCGGCGGACGGGUGAGUAACACGUAAGGAACCUGCCUCAAGGAUUGGGAUAACUCCGAGAAAUCGGAGCUAAUACCGGAUAGUUCAACGGACCGCAUGGUCCGCUGAUGAAAGGCGCUCCGGCGUCACCUUGAGAUGGCCUUGCGGUGCAUUAGCUAGUUGGUGGGGUAACGGCCCACCAAGGCGACGAUGCAUGGCCGACCUGAGAGGGUGGUCGGCCACGCUGGGACUGAGACACGGCCCAGACUCCUGCGGGAGGCAGCGGUAGGGAAUCUUCCACAAUGGACGAAAGUCUGAUGGAGCAACGCCGCGUGAGGGAUGGAGGUUUUCGGAUCGUAAAACUCUGUUGUAAGGGAAGAACACGUACGAGAGGGAAUGCUCGUACCUUGACGGUACCUUACGAGAAAGCCACGGCUAACUACGUGCCAGCCGCCGCCGUAA
This 524-nucleotide ribosomal RNA is filed under the name uncultured bacterium. RNAcentral's name for it is "partial 16S ribosomal RNA". It matches the Rfam family "Bacterial small subunit ribosomal RNA", at positions 28 to 523 of the family's 1533-position model. The record is from RNAcentral.